GCCGAUAUUGUGAGCGUUCAUUGUGAACAACAAGCCACUAUCCAUCUGCAUCGGACAGUUAAUCAGAUAAAGAGUUUAGGCGCAAAAGCAGGAGUUGUUUUGAAUCCUGGAACCCCAUUAACCGCUAUAGAAUAUGUGCUUGAUGUGGUAGAUCUGAUCUUGAUUAUGUCCGUUAAUCCUGGUUUUGGCGGCCAGAGCUUUAUUGAGAGCCAAGUGA
This 217-nucleotide unclassified non-coding RNA is filed under the name Hevea brasiliensis (rubber tree). The record is from RNAcentral. Lineage: Eukaryota; Viridiplantae; Streptophyta; Magnoliopsida; Malpighiales; Euphorbiaceae.